AGUGAACGCUGGCGGUAUGCCUAACACAUGCAAGUCGAACGGCAGCACAGUAAGAGCUUGCUCUUACGGGUGGCGAGUGGCGGACGGGUGAGGAAUACAUCGGAAUCUACUUUUUCGUGGGGGAUAACGUAGGGAAACUUACGCUAAUACCGCAUACGACCUACGGGUGAAAUCAGGGGAUCUUCGGACCUUGCGCGAUUGAAUGAGCCGAUGUCGGAUUAGCUAGUUGGCGGGGUAAAGGCCCACCAAGGCGACGAUCCGUAGCUGGUCUGAGAGGGUGAUCAGCCACACUGGAACUGAGACACGGUCCAGACUCCUACGGGAGGCAGCAGUGGGGAAUAUUGGACAAUGGGCGCGAGCCUGAUCCAGCCAUACCGCGUGGGUGAAGAAGGCGUUCGGGUUGUAAAGCCCUUUUGUUGGGAAAGAAAAGCAGCAGGUUAAUACCCCGCUGUUCUGACGGUACCCAAAGAAUAAGCACCGACUAACUUCGUG
Molecule: ribosomal RNA, 492 nt
Filed under: uncultured bacterium
Lineage: Bacteria
Description: partial 16S ribosomal RNA
Rfam family: Bacterial small subunit ribosomal RNA
Source: RNAcentral